Molecule: long non-coding RNA, 5288 nt
Filed under: Marmota monax (woodchuck)
Lineage: Eukaryota; Metazoa; Chordata; Mammalia; Rodentia; Sciuridae
Rfam family: tRNA (bases 452-518)
Source: RNAcentral
UCGAUUCUCAGCACCACAUACAAAAAAAACAAAGAUGUUGUGUCCGCCAAAAACUAAAAAAUAAAUAUUAAAAAAAUUCUCUCUCUCUGUACCGCUCUCUCUCUCUCGCUCUCUCUUUAAAAAAAAAAAAGAAAAGAAAAAAAAAGAAGGGCAUCUAAGAAGAGUGACAUUGAGUCCAAGUCAGGCAGAUAAUUGAGGGGCAGAAUGAAGCUAUAGGUUAUUUCUAGCAGAAGGAGAGACAGAAGUAUCAGAAUAAAUACUAUUGAGUUCAAAUACUAUGAGGAAGGAAGUGGUCAUAACAUUUCUUCAUGUACUGAGGAAGUCUAUUCUCAAACUACCUUCAAAAUCUUUUUCAUAGAAUGAUCUUUUUAUAUUGGAAAAUAUGAAAACAAAAUCUCGCUGUGAUGAUUAUCUAGAGAUUUUUAUUCCUUAGAAAUUUUUAUUGGGCUGAGGUUGUAGCUCAGUGGUAGAGCACUUGCCUAGCAUGUGUGAGGCACUGGGUUCGAUCCUCAGCACCACAUAAAAAAUAUAUAUAAAUAAAACAAAGAUAUUGUGUCCAUACAAAAAAUUUAAAAAAAAAAAUUUUAUUCUACACUGGAUGUAGAAAAACAGUUUUCUGGGUAAAGAACCAAUAUUUGCCUUAUAUAUCCUUUUCCCUUGAAUUUAGAAUUCCAUUUUGGAGCUGUUAACAACAAUGCAUAAAAAUAUGUCCAAAUGCCUUCUAGCAUUAUCAGGGGAAAGAACAAAUGAAUGUUUAAAUUGAUAUAAAAUAUACAUAAUUGCAUAAUUGAACAAGCAUCCCUAUAAAACAAAACAAAUACCAUCUGAGAAUUUCUGAUAACAACACUGAAAUCUGUCCCCACAGCCUGAAAUUCUUUUGAUGUAUUUUAGUUUUGAAAAGUCACAGUUGCUUAUAUAAAACAAAUUUAAGGAAAAUAUUAAUUAUUGAUAUAACUGAAACUGUGUUUUUUAAAGGAGAAAAUGGGACAUUUAAGACUGUAAGGAAUAUCCAAUUUAUAUCUUUUCAAUGAUAUUAAUAGUCACUAAUGAGAAUCAGGUUUCAAGAGGCAAGUAAAAUUCCAGUCUUGCUAAUCCAACUGCCAGGUACAAAAUCAGCAGGGCCUUUGAAUUAUUUCAAUUUUAAUAUUUUGACGAUUGUGACCUCAGUUAUCAAACAUAAUCAUGUUAAUGUUUUGUUAUGAAGUAAAUAUAUCUAACAGUAAAGUGGUUUUUUUGUUGGUUGGUUUACUAGAAUUAGGAUAUCUUUGUUCUAGUAUCAAUUCCAUCAAUUUUGCAAAUUUAAGGAAGUAAAUUAUUUCUCAUGUCUAAGAAAAAUGACAAUAAAACUAUCUUAACAAUCUGCUGAUGUAGGUACUGAAUUACCUAUUUUAUAGAUAGAGUUAAGUUAUUGAAAAGUCAUCCCAUCAGUUAAUACCACUGUCAGGAUUUGAACUCCAAUUUAGCUGAAUUUAGAGCUCAAACUCUAAAACAGAAAAGUUGCCCUUUGGUCUCUUCAUUGGCUCCAGGAUUCCAACAGAUAUCCAAAUUCUCCCAUACACAAAUCCCUUACAUAAAAUGGUAUAUUUGCCUAUGACUUAUUAGUCCUCCCACAUUCACGUCAUCUCAAGAUUACUUAUAUAGUUGACCCUUGAACAAUAAAGGGGUAGCUCCUUUGUUGCAACUGAAAAUCCACAUAUAACUUUUGACUUUCCCCAAACCUAACUACUAACAGCUUGCUGUUGUUGGAAGCCUUACCAAUAACAAACAGUUAAUAAAUAUUUUGUAUAUCAUGUUUUGUAUACAGUGAAAAUUACAGGAGAACCAUGAGAGAUCACUUUUUACUGAAAGGUACAGUGUACUGGAUAUAAUAUUACUAACAUCCUAUGAUUUUAAGCAGGUACAAUACUUGAGCUUGCUUCAAUAGCAGCAGGAGGUGACUGAAAUUAUUAUAGUAAUACAGUAUGUACUGCAGUUAAUUUUACAGUUAUUUAAUACUGCAUCCUUAUGUGUGUUUACAUUCCCCUUGACUCAAUGGCACAAUGUAUGUGUAUUUGCAUAAGUUUUAAUAAGCUAAUUGUUUUAGAUUUGUAUUUUAUGGUAGGAAAUGGUUUAAAAAAACAGGCUAUUGGGGGCUGGGGAUGUGGCUCAAGUGGUAGCGCGCUUGCCUGGCAUGCGUGCCGCCCGGGUUCGAUCCUCAGCACCACAUACAAACAAAGAUGUUGUUGUCUGCCGAAAACUAAAAAAAUAAAUAAAUAUUUUAAAAAAUAGGCUAUUAUCUAUGUAUAUCUUAUGAAUUCAGGACAUACCUACCAUAUGUGUGUGUGUGUGUGUGUGUGUAUUUCUAGACUACACAGUUUUGUUUUGUUUUUAAUUUAAGCCACAAAUCUCAAAAAAUAAACAUUAAAAAACCUGCAUAUAGGUGGACCCCACAGUUCAAAUCCAUUUUGUUCAAGGGUCAAGUGCAACACCUAAUAUAGUGUAAAUGCUAAGUAAAUAAUUGUUGUACUGUAUUGUUUAGGGUAUAAUGACAAGGAAAGAAAAUUUGUACAAAUGCAAGGUUAUCAUUGUUCUGGUUUUUGGUACUGGAGAUUGAAGCCAGGAUGUCUCUACCACUGAGUUACUUCUCCAGCCCCCCAACCCACUUUUAAAGACAAUGUUUCUGUAAAUUGCUUAAGGCUUUGCUGAAUUACUGAGGCUGCCCUGGAACUUGAGAUCCUCCUGCCUCAGCCUCUGAAUCACUGGGAUAACAGGUAUGUGCCAUCUUGCCUGCCCCGAUGCAAUUUUUUUCUGAACAUUUUCUAUCUAAAGUUGGUUGGAGGGCUGAUUGUCCACAUAUUAUCAAUUACUUUUUCUUUUCUUUUUGGGGAUUGAACCCUGGGUGCUUUGGGUAUGCUAGAUGAACACUCUACCACUGAACCAAUUCUUACAUCAUGCAGUUUUUGUAAGUAUAAAAAAUUAGUGUGGGGGUUGGUGUUGUGCCCCAGUAGUGGAGAGCUUGCCUAGCAUGUUUGCAACACUGGGUUCAAUCCUCAGCACCACAUAAAAAUAAAUAAAAUAAAUGUAUUAUGUCCAUCUGCAACUAAAAAUAUUUUUAAAAAAUAAGUGUAAAAAUGUCUUCACUUACGUAAAAGAAUGGUUAUAUAUAAACUUAAAUGCCAUUUAUUGGUACUAAAUUACCAUAAAGAAAUGUUCAGCUUUAUGUGUUUUUGUCUUUAAAAUUAAUCCAAUUUGGGGGGCUAGGGAUAUAGUUCAGUUGCGUACUUGCCUAGCAUGCACAAGGCCCUAGGUUCAAUCUCAAGCCCAACCAAAAAAGAAAGAAAAAUUUUAAUGUACCACUAAACAUAUUAUAGUAAUAAUGUAUAAAGAUCCAUUUCUGUAUUACAUAAUUGUAUGUGAGCAAAAAGGAACAUUAGAAAUUACCCUGUUAUUCAUUCAUAUAAUUGAAUUAUGUUAUUCAUGUUAUUAAAAGAAGCCACAGUCCAGACAGGUUAAGUGCCUGGUGUGAGUGUACAUGGCCAAUUUAUGAUGGAGCUAGGAGACAUACCUUCGAGUAAUAAAGACCACAGAGAACUGAUCUUGUUAGAUACAAUCUGAUAGAAAAUUUGGAAACACGUCAAGCAAUCCUAUGUACAGUUAAAUAUAAAUAACAUGCCUGUGUCUUAGUAAUACCUAAUUCAAUGGUUGUUUCAGGGGGAGGUAAUACGGUUUAAAAGUGUCUCUAAUAAUUCACAUUUUUUAAAAAGCCAUCUUAGUAAUGUUGUGUCUAAUUCUAGCCUUACAUGAAAAAAACAAAAUGUAGGGUAGGGAGAACGUGUUUAGCUUGCAUUAAAGUAGUUACUGUUAUGGGAAGAUAGCUCUCCAUGUCUUCUUGCCACUAACCUGUAAAGCUAAGUUCCUUGGUAAGAUCCAACAGACUGCAAAGAAAAUGGAAGAUCUUGAAGAAAUGAAGCAAUUUCUAUGAUAUUCAGCUUCAUAGAUGAUUAAUGUAAAACUAUACAAAGGGUAGAAUAAUUUUAAUUUCUUAAUAUCAAUUGAGGCUUCAUUGGGGAGGUUAAGGAGAGGUUUGCCUCAUACUGCAAAUGUAAAAAUAAAGAUCAUUAUUCUUUCAAGAUCUUUGAAUGGUUUGGAUCCCAUUUGUGAAGCCCCAUAUACCAAUUCAUCUUAAGAUUUUUUCUAGUUAGCUUAUUGAAGUAUAUGAUGGAAGACAAUACUGUUUAUGCUAGUGUAAGUAUGUUAUAUAUUGGUAGUGAAAUGGCAAUUCUAUAAAUGUACUUCUAAAUGAAAUUAAAUCCUUUCAAAAGCAUUUUAAUCUUUUAAUUUUCUAAAAUAAUAAUGAAACACUAAAACUUAACUACUGGGCUGCCUACUUUAUUUAUUAAGGGACUAAUACAAAUCAUUUAAACAUCUCAUCAUCAAUCCAACAGUUAAAGGAAGAUUAUUAUUCAUUCCACAAACAAUGAACAUCAUGAGUAAGACCUAAUUCCUGCUCAGUAGGAGCAUCAGUAGCUGCAUUGUUUGCCAAAAUCAUUCCAAUCCUGAGUCACCACUUGGACUCUUAGUGAUUUAUUAAGAAAAACUGAUUAUGUGUUAAUGCUACACUUUAUGGUAUCCUAGAAACAUGUAUCUUUCUAUAAUUUUACCCAAUUAAGUGAACAAAACCUUCAGGCCUGGCUUACAACCACUGUCCCGACUUCUGGUGGACCUGGAGGACCUUUCUCUGUUUCAGAUGAAAGCAGAAAAUGGUAGCUUAUCAUUCUCUUAUAAUAAAUUGCAGACCACUGGAACAGCAUUGCCUAAAAUAUCCCAGGAAUUUACCAUAAGCAUGGCAACAUUUUAAGUUAUUUUGCUUACUAUGUUAGUCAUUUAUGCCUUUGGAAGAAAGAUGUGCAGUUCUUUUUAGAUUUUUAUACUGUAUCCUUCAGUUGUCAAUUAACCAUUUUUCAAUUUAUUCAUUGAUGAAAUUCAGUACCUAGUAUAUAUUAGGCACAGUACUAGGAGAUAAGGUUGUGGAAAUGUGUAAACUUAGAGCAGCUUUGGAACAGCUCAGCAUCUAAUGGGAAAGAAAAUCAGGUAGAUAAGUACAAUACAGGUAAGUGUUGAAUGAAAAGCAUGAUGUGACCCGUGGGAAGGACACCAAACUAUGAGUCAGGAAAAGCAUCCCAAAGAAGUAUAGUAAUCAUGCAUGUUUGCCAAAUGCUAAUUUCUUUACUCUUUUUUAAGAAUCUGGAUUUUGUCCACAAUGGAUAAAGAUAAUGUGGUAUAUACCCACAAUGAAGUUUUAUUCAGCC